UACGGGGGGGGUAAGCGUUGUUCGGAAUUACUGGGCGUAAAGCGCGCGUAGACGGUUUUGUAAGUCAGAUGUGAAAUCCCUGGGCUCAACCUGGGAACUGCAUUUGAGACUGCAUGGCUAGAGUAUGGAAGAGGGAAGUGGAAUUUCCGGUGUAGCGGUGAAAUGCGUAGAUAUCGGAAGGAACACCAGUGGCGAAAGCGACUUCCUGGUCCAAUACUGACGUUCAUGUGCGAAAGCGUGGGGAGCAAACAGG
Molecule: ribosomal RNA, 253 nt
Filed under: uncultured prokaryote
Description: partial 16S ribosomal RNA
Rfam family: Bacterial small subunit ribosomal RNA
Source: RNAcentral